AUUGAACGCUGGCGGCAGGCCUAACACAUGCAAGUCGAACGGUAACAGGAAGAAGCUUGCUUCUUUGCUGACGAGUGGCGGACGGGUGAGUAAUGUCUGGGAAACUGCCUGAUGGAGGGGGAUAACUACUGGAAACGGUAGCUAAUACCGCAUAACGUCGCAAGACCAAAAAGGGGGACCUUCGGGCCUCUUGCCAUCGGAUGUGCCCAGAUGGGAUUAGCUAGUAGGUGGGGUAACGGCUCACCUAGGCGACGAUCCCUAGCUGGUCUGAGAGGAUGACAGGCCACACGGGAAUUGAAACCGGGCCCGGACCCCUAGGGGGGGCAGCAGGGGGGAAAUUUGCAAAAGGGGGGAAAGCCUGAGGCAGCCAUGCCGGGUGGAUGAAGAAGGCCUUGGGGUUUUAAAGUCCUUUCGGGGGGGGGGAAGGGAGUAAAGUUAAACCCUUGGCUCAUUGACUUUCCCCGAAGAAGAAGCACCGGCUAACUCCGU
This 489-nucleotide ribosomal RNA is filed under the name uncultured bacterium. Its description in RNAcentral is "partial 16S ribosomal RNA". It matches the Rfam family "Bacterial small subunit ribosomal RNA", at positions 29 to 506 of the family's 1533-position model. The record is from RNAcentral.